ACUCCUACGGGAGGCAGCAGUAGGGAAUCUUUCGCAAUGGGCGAAAGCCUGACGGAGCAACGCCGCGUGAGUGAUGAAGGUCUUCGGAUCGUAAAGCUCUGUUAUUAGGGAAGAACAAGUGCGUAAGUAACUGUGCGCACCUUGACGGUACCUAAUCAGAAAGCCACGGCUAACUACGUGCCAGCAGCCGCGGUAAUACGUAGGUGGCAAGCGUUAUCCGGAAUUAUUGGGCGUAAAGCGCGCGUAGGCGGUUUCUUAAGUCUGAUGUGAAAGCCCAUGGCUCAACCGUGGAGGGUCAUUGGAAACUGGGAAACUUGAGUGCAGAAGAGGAAAGUGGAAUUCCAUGUGUAGCGGUGAAAUGCGCAGAGAUAUGGAGGAACACCAGUGGCGAAGGCGACUUUCUGGUCUGUAACUGACGCUGAUGUGCGAAAGCGUGGGGAUCAAACAGGAUUAGAUACCCUGGUAGUCCACGCCGUAAACGAUGAGUGCUAAGUGUUAGGGGGUUUCCGCCCCUUAGUGCUGCAGCUAACGCAUUAAGCACUCCGCCUGGGGAGUACGACCGCAAGGUUGAAACUUAAAGGAAUUGACGG
This 590-nucleotide ribosomal RNA is filed under the name uncultured bacterium. Its description in RNAcentral is "bacterial SSU rRNA". It matches the Rfam family "Bacterial small subunit ribosomal RNA", at positions 335 to 916 of the family's 1533-position model. The record is from RNAcentral.